GGAGACAGAUACAAUUCCAUGCUUGUGAUUGAAUGAGGCAGAGGAAAGCCCAAAUGUGAUGUUAAACACACAGAGGAGACCCCACAUGGGUUACUCACACAGACGCUGCCAAAGGUCCUGCUGUUUCACACUGUGCAGAGUGAAUAAACUAUGGCAUAAAACUAUGGCAACCCCCUUGAGGUAUGU
This 186-nucleotide long non-coding RNA is filed under the name Capra hircus (goat). RNAcentral describes it as "lncRNA (ENSCHIG00000004637.1)". Lineage: Eukaryota; Metazoa; Chordata; Mammalia; Artiodactyla; Bovidae. The record is from RNAcentral.